This 365-nucleotide ribosomal RNA is filed under the name Candidatus Omnitrophota bacterium. RNAcentral's name for it is "bacterial SSU rRNA". It matches the Rfam family "Bacterial small subunit ribosomal RNA", at positions 1 to 351 of the family's 1533-position model. Lineage: Bacteria; Pseudomonadati; Candidatus Omnitrophota. The record is from RNAcentral.
UUGACGGAGAGUUUGAUCCUGGCUCAGAGCGAACGCUGGCGGCGUGGAUAAGGCAUGCAAGUCGAGCGAUCCCGCAGCAAUGCGGGAUAGCGGCAAACGGGUGAGUAUCGCGUAGGUUACCUACCCUGAAGCGUGGGAUAACCCACCGAAAGCUGGGCUAAUACCACAUGUGUCUCCUGGACCGCAUGGUUCGGGAGGGAAAGAUGGCCUCGACCGUAAGGUUGCUAUCACUUCAGGAGGGACCUGCGUCCCAUCAGCUAGUUGGUAGGGUCACGGCCUACCAAGGCGUAUGACGGGUAGCUAGCCUUAGAGGACGGUUAGCCACACUGGGACUGAGACACUGCCCAGACUCCUACGGGAGGCUG